UUAAAAUUUUUACGCUAAUAUUUAAAUCAAAAGUUAUCGGUUUCUUCUUGCACUCCCAUUCGCCGUUUUCCAGAAAAUAUAGGAAUUUAACGAACAGCUAAACUGAAGUCGAGUGUACUAGAGCAGAGAAAAAUUAGCAGAGCAUAGAAUUUAAUU
Molecule: long non-coding RNA, 156 nt
Organism: Ceratosolen solmsi marchali
Lineage: Eukaryota; Metazoa; Arthropoda; Insecta; Hymenoptera; Agaonidae
Exons: 2
Source: RefSeq, a predicted model, not a curated record